GGGCCCGCACAAGCAGUGGAGUAUGUGGUUUAAUUCGAAGCAACGCGAAAAACCUUACCAGGUCUUGACAUCCCGUGCAUAGCAUAGAGAUAUGUGAAGUCUUUCGGGACACGGAGACAGGUGGUGCAUGGUUGUCGUCAGCUCGUGUCGUGAGAUGUUGGGUUAAGUCCCGCAACGAGCGCAACCCUUACUGACAGUUACUACGCAAGAGGACUCUGUCGGGACCGCCGUUGACAAAACGGAGGAAGGUGGGGAUGACGUCAAAUCAUCAUGCCCUUUAUGACCUGGGCUACACACGUACUACAAUGGCCGUUAACAAAGGGGACCGAACCCGCGAGGGGGAGGAAAUCGUUAAAAACGGUCUCAGUUCGGAUUGUAGGCUGCAACUCGCCUACAUGAAGUCGGAAUUGCUAGUAAUCGCGGAUCAGCAUGCCGCGGUGAAUACGUUCCCGGGCCUU
RNAcentral lists this ribosomal RNA (458 nucleotides) under uncultured bacterium. RNAcentral describes it as "bacterial SSU rRNA". It matches the Rfam family "Bacterial small subunit ribosomal RNA", at positions 917 to 1382 of the family's 1533-position model. The record is from RNAcentral.